GUCCACGCCGUAAACGAUGGGUGCUAGGUGUGGGGUGGUCGACUCCCCCGUCGCCGAAGCUAACGCAUUAAGCACCCCGCCCUGGGGAGGUACGGCCGCAAGGCUAAAACUACAAAGGAAUUGACGGGGCCCGGCACAAGCAGCGGAGCAUGUGGUUUAAUUCGACGCAACGCGAAGAACCUUACCAAGGCUUGACAUGGUCGGGAAAGCCGUAGAAAUACGGCCCUCCUUCGGGACUCGAUCACAGGUGGUGCAUGGCUGUCGU
This 265-nucleotide ribosomal RNA is filed under the name uncultured bacterium. RNAcentral's name for it is "partial 16S ribosomal RNA". It matches the Rfam family "Bacterial small subunit ribosomal RNA", at positions 793 to 1055 of the family's 1533-position model. The record is from RNAcentral.